CUGGUGUUUUUUUAGAAACUGAAGAUGAUGCAGUUUUGCCACGUUGGCCAGGCUGGUCUAGAACUCCUGACCUCAAGUGAUCUACCCUCCUCGGCCUCCCAAAGUGCUGGGAUUAGAGGUGUGCACCACUGCCCCCAGCCCAUGAGCCACUGCACCCAGCUCAGUAAGCACUUUAAAAGAAGACCUGGACAUCAGAGCCUCUCUCCUGCUGGUUUUGAAGAAGCAAGCUGCCACAAGUCUACAGCUGUAAGGAAAUGAAUUGUGCCAACGAUCCCAUGUGCUUGAAAGAGGACCCUGAACCUCAGAUGAGACCCAGUCCCAGGAGACAGAUUGAGUGCUGCCUCUCAGGACCCUGAACAGAGGAGCCAGUUGAACCAUCAACAGGCUCCUGACCCACAGAAACUGUGAGACAAUAAACGUGUAUUGUCUUAAGCUCCUAAGUGUG
This 445-nucleotide long non-coding RNA is filed under the name Homo sapiens (human). Its description in RNAcentral is "HSALNT0245093". Lineage: Eukaryota; Metazoa; Chordata; Mammalia; Primates; Hominidae. The record is from RNAcentral.